GUGACGCUGGCGGCGCGCUUAAUGCAUGCAAGUCGAGCGUGAUCGUGGCUUCGGCCACAAUGAUAAAGCGGCAGACGGCUGAGUAACGCGUGAGUAAUCUGCCCUCCGGUGGGGUAUAGCCUCGGGAAACUGAGGAUAAUCCCGCAUACGACCCGCAUCCCUUGGGGUGCAGGUGAAAGGCUUCGGUCGCCGGAGGAGGAGCUCGCGUCCUAUCAGGUUGUUGGUGAGGUAAUGGCUCACCAAGCCGAUGACGGGUAGCUGGUCUGAGAGGAUGACCAGCCAGAGGGGGACUGAGAACGGCCCCCACUCCUACGGGAGGCAGCAGCAGGGAAUCUUGGGCAAUGGGCGAAAGCCUGACCCAGCGACGUCGCGUGGGGGACGAAGGCCUUCGGGUUGUAAACCCCUUUUCCGAGGGAAGAGAAAGGACGGUACCGGGAAUAAGCCCCGGCUAACUACGUGCCAGCAGCCGCGGUAAUACGUAGGGGGCAAGCGUUACCCGGAAUCACUGGGCGUAAAGUGCGCGUAGGCGGUUGGAUAAGUCUCUUGUGAAAGCUCCCGGCUCAACUGGGAGAGGUCAAGGGAUACUAUUCGACUUGAGGACAGCAGAGGUAAGCAGAAUUCCCGGUGUAGCGGUGGAAUGCGUAGAUAUCGGGAGGAACACCAGUGGCGGAAGCGGCUUACUGGGCUGUAUCUGACGCUGAGGCGCGAGAGCGUGGGGAGCAAACUGGAUUAGAUACCCAGGUAGUCCACGCCCUAACGAUGGAUACUAGGUAUGGGGGGGUAUUGACCCCCUCCGUGCCGUAGCUAACGCGUUAAGUAUCCCGCCUGGGGACUACGGCCGCAAGGCUAAAACUCAAAGGAAUUGACGGGGGCCCGCACAAGCGGUGGAGCGUGUGGUUUAAUUCGAUGCUAAGCGAAGAACCUUACCUG
RNAcentral lists this ribosomal RNA (930 nucleotides) under uncultured bacterium. RNAcentral describes it as "bacterial SSU rRNA". It matches the Rfam family "Bacterial small subunit ribosomal RNA", at positions 29 to 977 of the family's 1533-position model. The record is from RNAcentral.